UUUCCGUAGGUGAACCUGCGGAAGGAUCAUUAUUGAAUAAAUCUGGCGUUGGUUGUAGCUGGCUCUCCGGAGCAUGUGCACACCUCGUCACCUUUAUCUUUCCACCUGUGCACACAUUGUAGACUUGGAUACCUCUCGCCGCAAGGCGGAUGCGGAGGUUGCUGUGCUGUCGCAAGACGGUCGGCUUCUCUCUGAAUUUCCAAGUCUAUGUACCUUUACACACCCCAAACGAAUGUUAUAGAAUGUAAUCAUAAGGCCUUGUGCCUAUAAAAGUUAAUACAACUUUCAGCAACGGAUCUCUUGGCUCUC
RNAcentral lists this unclassified non-coding RNA (309 nucleotides) under soil metagenome. Its description in RNAcentral is "partial contains small subunit ribosomal RNA, internal transcribed spacer 1, and 5.8S ribosomal RNA". The record is from RNAcentral.